This 1220-nucleotide ribosomal RNA is filed under the name Salmonella enterica subsp. enterica serovar Mbandaka. RNAcentral describes it as "partial 23S ribosomal RNA". It matches the Rfam family "Bacterial large subunit ribosomal RNA", at positions 1 to 1251 of the family's 2925-position model. The record is from RNAcentral. Lineage: Bacteria; Pseudomonadati; Pseudomonadota; Gammaproteobacteria; Enterobacterales; Enterobacteriaceae.
GGGUUGUGAGGUUAAGCGACUAAGCGUACACGGUGGAUGCCCUGGCAGUCAGAGGCGAUGAAGGGCGUGCUAAUCUGCGAUAAGCGCCGGUAAGGUGAUAUGAACCGUUAUAACCGGCGAUACCCGAAUGGGGAAACCCAGUGUGACUCGUCACACUAUCAUUAACUGAAUCCAUAGGUUAAUGAGGCGAACCGGGGGAACUGAAACAUCUAAGUACCCCGAGGAAAAGAAAUCAACCGAGAUUCCCCCAGUAGCGGCGAGCGAACGGGGAGGAGCCCAGAGCCUGAAUCAGCAUGUGUGUUAGUGGAAGCGUCUGGAAAGGCGCGCGAUACAGGGUGACAGCCCCGUACACAAAAGCGCAUGUGCUGUGAGCUCGAUGAGUAGGGCGGGACACGUGGUAUCCUGUCUGAAUAUGGGGGGACCAUCCUCCAAGGCUAAAUACUCCUGACUGACCGAUAGUGAACCAGUACCGUGAGGGAAAGGCGAAAAGAACCCCGGCGAGGGGAGUGAAAAAGAACCUGAAACCGUGUACGUACAAGCAGUGGGAGCACAGGUUUACCUGUGUGACUGCGUACCUUUUGUAUAAUGGGUCAGCGACUUAUAUUCUGUAGCAAGGUUAACCGAAUAGGGGAGCCGGAGGGAAACCGAGUCUUAACCGGGCGUUAAGUUGCAGGGUAUAGACCCGAAACCCGGUGAUCUAGCCAUGGGCAGGUUGAAGGUUGGGUAACACUAACUGGAGGACCGAACCGACUAAUGUUGAAAAAUUAGCGGAUGACCUGUGGCUGGGGGUGAAAGGCCAAUCAAACCGGGAGAUAGCUGGUUCUCCCCGAAAGCUAUUUAGGUAGCGCCUCGUGAAUUCAUCUCCGGGGGUAGAGCACUGUUUCGGCUAGGGGGCCAUCCCGGCUUACCAACCCGAUGCAAACUGCGAAUACCGGAGAAUGUUAUCACGGGAGACACACGGCGGGUGCUAACGUCCGUCGUGAAGAGGGAAACAACCCAGACCGCCAGCUAAGGUCCCAAAGUCAUGGUUAAGUGGGAAACGAUGUGGGAAGGCCCAGACAGCCAGGAUGUUGGCUUAGAAGCAGCCAUCAUUUAAAGAAAGCGUAAUAGCUCACUGGUCGAGUCGGCCUGCGCGGAAGAUGUAACGGGGCUAAACCAUGCACCGAAGCUGCGGCAGCGACACUGUGUGUUGUUGGGUAGGGGAGCGUUCUGUAAGCCUG